Molecule: long non-coding RNA, 721 nt
Filed under: Aotus nancymaae (Ma's night monkey)
Lineage: Eukaryota; Metazoa; Chordata; Mammalia; Primates; Aotidae
Description: lncRNA (ENSANAG00000038860.1)
Source: RNAcentral
GGGGCUUGACUGAGAUUACCUUGGAAAAAAAAGAAAAAAGAAAAAAAUUGAUUGGGGCAAAUGUGCCCUUUGGAUUUGGUUGCUACUAUGAUUAUUAAUUAACCUAACUGUAGAGAUAUCAAGUACAUUUCUCCCUCUUGUUUAUAAGAACCCAUGAGAGACAAGGCCAACUGCAGACACUGGGGAUGUCCUCAUGAUAGUGAGAUGAACUGCCUAGUUCUCUUCCGAUAUCUUUACUUUCCUCCAGUUUUGUUGCUUGCAAAACAACAGAAUCUACUCUCCAUGAAAUCAGAUCCCCUUGGCUCCACAAGGAUAGAGACGGUUCUUUGCUGAGAGAGUCACUACCGCACACUCAAGUGAAAGGUAUUCAUUAUGCUUAGCAGAGUCAUUGGUAGAGCAGCUGCUGAUUCCAGCAAGGCAGUGCGGGUGAUAGGAAGGGAUUAGAUUAGGAAGAAAAGUGAUCCUCUCAUUCACUGAGAGGACUUUAAAUCUGCAAAAGCAUGUCAGUGAGAGGUCUACGUGUAAGGGCCAAUGUGCAAAAUCGAUGUGCACAUGUUACAGGUUGGAGACAGAUGAUGUAAUUCAGACCUGAGCACACCGUGGAACUCUCUUGAUGACUUCUCUCUACAAAUGGGUUGCCCCUGAAUGUAUAGAUUUGUUCUACAGGAGUCCUGCUCCUAACUCAUCAGAAAGUAAUGUCCCCUGUUGAUCUCAAAGGAAU